This 427-nucleotide long non-coding RNA is filed under the name Nicotiana benthamiana. Its description in RNAcentral is "long non-coding RNA (NBEN_LNC011367)". Lineage: Eukaryota; Viridiplantae; Streptophyta; Magnoliopsida; Solanales; Solanaceae. The record is from RNAcentral.
UUUUUGUUCUUGCUAGCAUGUUUUUGCCUACUUUGUUUAAAACUCAUAUCCUCUCUUUCUUCUGAUUCUAUUUGAAACCCUAAGAUUUGGGGAUUUUCUUUGACGAAUGGCACUAGGGUUUCACUUUGGGACCCUAGCCUUUCAGACUCACUGUGAGCCUGUAAUUGAACUUGAAAUCAUGUUUGCCUGUGACUCUGAAACUUUCAAUAUUAGACUCUUUCUUUGUUUAAACUGUAUGCUUUAUAUAUGAGAAAAGCUCCUCUUUCAAAGGGUUUUAACCAACCAAGUGAUUGAUUCUGAAAUUCCUUUAAUAAGGUUAAUGAUUUGUCACUGAUUUCUUUCGUUUGAACCUCCUUUACCCCACUGGUUGUUCACUUGGGUUUUUAUGCAGAAAUCCCAUACUUGUGAUGUUUUCCUUAAAUACAUG